Molecule: ribosomal RNA, 253 nt
Filed under: uncultured bacterium
Lineage: Bacteria
Description: partial 16S ribosomal RNA
Rfam family: Bacterial small subunit ribosomal RNA
Source: RNAcentral
UACGGAGGGGGCUAGCGUUGUUCGGAAUUACUGGGCGUAAAGCGCACGUAGGCGGCUUUGUAAGUUAGAGGUGAAAGCCCGGGGCUCAACUCCGGAACUGCCUUUAAGACUGCAUCGCUUGAAUCCAGGAGAGGUGAGUGGAAUUCCGAGUGUAGAGGUGAAAUUCGUAGAUAUUCGGAAGAACACCAGUGGCGAAGGCGGCUCACUGGACUGGUAUUGACGCUGAGGUGCGAAAGCGUAGGUAGCGAACAGG